This is a long non-coding RNA of Ornithodoros turicata, 894 nucleotides long. RefSeq lists it as uncharacterized. Lineage: Eukaryota; Metazoa; Arthropoda; Arachnida; Ixodida; Argasidae. The record is from RefSeq and is a predicted model, not a curated record. The transcript is spliced from 4 exons.
UGUGGCAAGCAGUUGCCAGUGGUGAUGUCUCUGACUUCGUUUUGCACAAUCAGUCGCUUGAAUGCUGCGGCGAACUGUUGGGCACUAGGAUUGUCGUUGCACCGUCCAUGGGAUCUGAUAGCACCAAAGAAAAGUUCGAGAUGAUCUUGGCUCACCUUAUGAGAUGCCCAAGAAUCCAGUCUUCCGAUUGGUCUUCAAUAGUGGGAUGCCAUUUGGAUGUUCUCUCAGGCUGGACAGAUCCCUUGUGUGCGACAUUCUGCAAUGGCAUCCGCAACAGACAUACUUAGAACUUGAGCUGCCAAACUGACUUUCAUUGGUUGUCUUCGCCAAUCGAUAUGUGAGCUGCGGAGACGGUUAGCAAGGGUGCUGGAAACUUGUCUUCAAAUUUUUGGGGUCACUGAAGUUGCACCCAAGCUGUCUAAACAUUGCGAAGUUUGACGGUGCCCCAUCACAAGUUAAGGAGACAACAGUCGCUCCCACUUCAUGGGCAAGGACAAGACUGCGUUGUACUAGGUCAGCCCUUUGUUCACCGCCAAGUCCAUCAACAAGAAAAUAGCCCAACGGGACCUUCCACCUUCCAUUAAUAGCCACUGCCAUUAUCACGAAUGCUGCCUUAGCCAUUGGCAAGCAAUCGCCAUCUGUUCCAGUGCCCAUGUCAACAUAGCCUUGGAAUUGUUUGCCGUCCCAUUGGAGCUGCUGUCUGAUUGAAAUUUCAUCCACCAUGAGACUGCAUAAUGUUGGAAAGCCUGACUUGCUAUUCUCUGUUGCUUUCAUUUUCAAUGCAUUCAGAGCUUCUUUUGAGAACCCUGGCCUGCCAUCAACUGAUUGGUACCAUUUGCUCAGUGUUUUUGGAUGAGGCAGGCAGGUGUCGAAUACACUCCGUACAUAGUUAUA